GACGAACGCUGGCGGCGUGCUUAACACAUGCAAGUCGAACGGUGAAGCGCCUUCCUUUUUGGUGGGUGUGGAUGAGUGGCGAACGGGUGAGUAACACGUGAGUAACCUGCCCCCUUCUUCUGGAUAACCGCAUGAAAGUGUGGCUAAUACGUGAUAUUCUGGGUCUGUCGCAUGAUGGGUCUGGGAAAGAUAUUGUUUCGGUGGGGGAUGGGCUCGCGGCCUAUCAGCUUGUUGGUGGGGUGAUGGCCUACCAAGGCGGUGACGGGUAGCCGGCCUGAGAGGGUGGACGGUCACACUGGGACGGAGACACGGACCAGACUCCUACGGGAGGCAGCAGUGAGGAAUAUUGCACAAUGGGCGGAAGCCUGAUGCAGCGACGCCGCGUGAGUGAUGGAGGCCUUCGGGUUGUGAACCUCUUUCGCCAGUGAAGCAGGCCUGCCUCGUUUGUGGGUGGGUUGACGGUAGCUGGAUAAGAAGCGCCGGCUAACUACGUG
RNAcentral lists this ribosomal RNA (494 nucleotides) under uncultured bacterium. RNAcentral's name for it is "partial 16S ribosomal RNA". It matches the Rfam family "Bacterial small subunit ribosomal RNA", at positions 28 to 507 of the family's 1533-position model. The record is from RNAcentral.